CCGUUCCUGGCUGCUGCAUUCACCUCCAGCGUUUGUGAUGCCCCAGAGCACAGAACUCCAGGGAGCCCACGAUGCAGGAGAGUUCAGCGACAUUCACUGAGUACAAGAGAGCGCAGACAGAAGGCCGUGGCAUUCUGAGAAACACACAUGAUGAAGGAGCCCUGUCAUAUCCUCUCUUCCUUGCAUCGCUUCCCCGUGUGAGCAACCACUUGUGCUGGAAAUGAUGACAAGGAAGGACCGGGAAAGACAGGGCCACCCGCAGUUCCUUUUCCUUGACGUCUUUCCUUCCUCAUCAGCGAGCUGAGGUGGAGAGCGUUGGUAGAAUGUGUGCAUAAUAAGAAGUGAAAUAAAAACAGUCGAGUUAGUAUUCUACUGUUUCCACUGUUCUGGUGAGAACAAAACACAUAUGCUGUAUAUGCUUUGAAAUACAAAGUGUGUAAUUUUAGGACUGUUGGGAGGCACCAAUGGACUUUGCAACUGGAGAUCUCCCAACUGGACCAUGUCACUGUUAUGUUUAAUUUGCACUGUGCACAGUAGGUACCCAGUCAACGUUUGUCGAAUUCCAUGGACUGGGCCUUAUACCUCCGAGGAUUUUUCACAGCAGUAGCAUGUGCACAUGCACAGAACGAGAACACAACCAAUGCUUGUUUGCUGGUGAAGACCUGGUCUCAGUAUUUUGCCCAGGAAACCCUUUCUUCAUGGACAGCAUGAGGCAAGCUAUGGCCCUUGCUGUGGUCUCAGUGGUUCAGCACGGAAGAUGAAGAUGACGGGCAGUCUCAGAAUAUUAGCUUUAGAAGGGACUUUGGAUCCUUUUGAUUUUGGUAGGUGAAAUACUUUUUAAAAAUAAAGAAAACGGACUUUGG
Molecule: long non-coding RNA, 863 nt
Filed under: Homo sapiens (human)
Lineage: Eukaryota; Metazoa; Chordata; Mammalia; Primates; Hominidae
Description: HSALNT0038885
Source: RNAcentral